UAAAGAAUUUCGGUAUGGGAUGGGGAUGCGUUCCAUUAGUUAGUUGGCGGGGUAACGGCCCACCAAGACAACGAUGGAUAGGGGUUCUGAGAGGAAGGUCCCCCACAUUGGAACUGAGACACGGUCCAAACUCCUACGGGAGGCAGCAGUGAGGAAUAUUGGUCAAUGGACGAGAGUCUGAACCAGCCAAGUAGCGUGAAGGAUGACUGCCCUAUGGGUUGUAAACUUCUUUUAUAUGGGAAUAAAAUGUUCCACGUGUGGGAUUUUGUAUGUACCAUAUGAAUAAGGAUCGGCUAACUCCGUGCCAGCAGCCGCGGUAAUACGGAGGAUCCGAGCGUUAUCCGGAUUUAUUGGGUUUAAAGGGAGCGUAGGUGGAUUGUUAAGUCAGUUGUGAAAGUUUGCGGCUCAACCGUAAAAUUGCAGUUGACACUGGCAGUCUUGAGUACAGUAGAGGUGGGCGGAAUUCGUGGUGUAGCGGUGAAAUGCUUAGAUAUCACGAAGAACUCCGAUUGCGAAGGCAGCUCACUGGACUGCAACUGACACUGAGGCUCGAAAGUGUGGGUAUCAAACAGGAUUAGAUACCCUGGUAGUCCACACAGUAAAAGAUGAAUACUCGCUGUUUGCGAUAUACAGUAA
This 636-nucleotide ribosomal RNA is filed under the name uncultured bacterium. RNAcentral's name for it is "bacterial SSU rRNA". It matches the Rfam family "Bacterial small subunit ribosomal RNA", at positions 202 to 842 of the family's 1533-position model. The record is from RNAcentral.